ACAUUGACUGCACUGGCGACCACGUGGCACCUGGCCCCGAUUUCUCGAAACAAACUUAAGUUUUUGCCCAAGUUUCAAACUGAGUUUGGCAAUUUUAAACAGCUGAAUUUUAACUCAACGGCAUUUUUAAAAUAAAAAAGUCCAAACAACGUAAGUAAUCUAUCCGCCAAACUCGAAUUAUCUACUAAGUUUGAGUUUAAUAUCGAGUUCAGUUCAUUCUGGGAAAUGCAUUUUCCUGCGUUUUCUCAAAUUUGAGUAAAAACUCUAAAUUAAGUCAAAACUC
This is a long non-coding RNA of Haliotis rubra (blacklip abalone), 283 nucleotides long. RefSeq lists it as uncharacterized. NCBI's taxonomy places the organism in Eukaryota, Metazoa, Mollusca, Gastropoda, Lepetellida, Haliotidae. The record is from RefSeq and is a predicted model, not a curated record. The transcript has 4 exons.